GUGGGGAAUAUUGCACAAUGGGCGAAAGCCUGAUGCAGCGACGCCGCGUGAGGGAUGACGGCCUUCGGGUUGUAAACCUCUUUCAGCAGGGACGAAGCGCUAGUGACGGUACCUGCAGAAGAAGCACCGGCUAACUACGUGCCAGCAGCCGCGGUAAUACGUAGGGUGCAAGCGUUGUCCGGAAUUACUGGGCGUAAAGAGUUCGUAGGCGGUUUGUCGCGUCGUUUGUGAAAACCAGCAGCUCAACUGCUGGCUUGCAGGCGAUACGGGCAGACUUGAGUACUGCAGGGGAGACUGGAAUUCCUGGUGUAGCGGUGAAAUGCGCAGAUAUCAGGAGGAACACCGGUGGCGAAGGCGGGUCUCUGGGCAGUAACUGACGCUGAGGAACGAAAGCGUGGGUAGCGAACAGGAUUAGAAACCCUGGUAGUCC
RNAcentral lists this ribosomal RNA (430 nucleotides) under uncultured bacterium. RNAcentral describes it as "partial 16S ribosomal RNA". It matches the Rfam family "Bacterial small subunit ribosomal RNA", at positions 354 to 796 of the family's 1533-position model. The record is from RNAcentral.